AUAUAGUAAAUCAUUAGAGAUAAGUAAUUAGGUUUAUUUUUUCAGAAAGCUAGUAGUUGAUGUAAACUAGUAAAAUAACUUAAUGAAAUCCACUCUACUAUAAGAAAAUAGAGAAAUAAUCUAUUUCGGUCAGUUGCCGUUAUCUACAUAAUUGAGUGCAAUAUUAAAUUAGUUUAUCUAAUUUUAUUGAAUUUGGGUGGUACCGCGGAUUUAAGCUUAUCCGCUCCAAUG
This is a regulatory RNA element of Melissococcus plutonius ATCC 35311, 231 nucleotides long. It matches the Rfam family "T-box leader". Rfam says of the family: Uncharged tRNA acts as the effector for transcription antitermination of genes in the T-box leader family. T-boxes are found upstream of many aminoacyl-tRNA synthetase genes and some amino acid biosynthetic genes usually in Gram-positive bacteria. The record is from Rfam. Lineage: Bacteria; Bacillati; Bacillota; Bacilli; Lactobacillales; Enterococcaceae.